Molecule: transfer RNA, 73 nt
Filed under: Camelus ferus (Wild Bactrian camel)
Lineage: Eukaryota; Metazoa; Chordata; Mammalia; Artiodactyla; Camelidae
Rfam family: tRNA
About the family: Transfer RNA (tRNA) molecules are approximately 80 nucleotides in length.
Source: Rfam by way of RNAcentral
GAGGGUAUAGCUCAAGUGGUAGAGCACAUGCUUAGCAUGCACAAAGUCCUGGGUUCAAUCCCCAAUGCCUGCU